Molecule: non-coding RNA, 357 nt
Organism: Cricetulus griseus (Chinese hamster)
Lineage: Eukaryota; Metazoa; Chordata; Mammalia; Rodentia; Cricetidae
Source: RefSeq, a predicted model, not a curated record
GAUUCUUCUCUUCCUUCCUGUGCAAAGCCUAAGUGAACAUGGAAUAGAACACAGAUCCACCCUUUUCUUCUCUGUAUUGCAGAGUCUGGCCACAGCUAAAGGACCAAAAUGACUGAUUCAAAAUACUUCACAACAACCAAGAAAGGGGAGAUCUUCGAGCUGAAGGCAGAGCUUAACAGUGACAAGAAGGAGAAGAAGAAGGAGGCAGUAAAGAAAGUGAUUGCAUCAAUGACUGUGGGCAAAGAUGUCAGAGCUUGCUUUGCUGAUAAUGCCUGAGAGAACCAUUUGGGCGAUUCACUUCCUCUUCCUCUCUCCAGAGUGGCUCUGUUCUUGAUGGUGCAUCAUCUUUCCAGGUGA